RNAcentral lists this ribosomal RNA (614 nucleotides) under uncultured bacterium. Its description in RNAcentral is "bacterial SSU rRNA". It matches the Rfam family "Bacterial small subunit ribosomal RNA", at positions 69 to 666 of the family's 1533-position model. The record is from RNAcentral.
GGAUUGAGAGCUUGCUCUCAAGAAGUUAGCGGCGGACGGGUGAGUAACACGUGGGUAACCUGCCCAUAAGACUGGGAUAACUCCGGGAAACCGGGGCUAAUACCGGAUAACAUUUUGAACUGCAUGGUUCGAAAUUGAAAGGCGGCUUCGGCUGUCACUUAUGGAUGGACCCGCGUCGCAUUAGCUAGUUGGUGAGGUAACGGCUCACCAAGGCAACGAUGCGUAGCCGACCUGAGAGGGUGAUCGGCCACACUGGGACUGAGACACGGCCCAGACUCCUACGGGAGGCAGCAGUAGGGAAUCUUCCGCAAUGGACGAAAGUCUGACGGAGCAACGCCGCGUGAGUGAUGAAGGCUUUCGGGUCGUAAAACUCUGUUGUUAGGGAAGAACAAGUGCUAGUUGAAUAAGCUGGCACCUUGACGGUACCUAACCAGAAAGCCACGGCUAACUACGUGCCAGCAGCCGCGGUAAUACGUAGGUGGCAAGCGUUAUCCGGAAUUAUUGGGCGUAAAGCGCGCGCAGGUGGUUUCUUAAGUCUGAUGUGAAAGCCCACGGCUCAACCGUGGAGGGUCAUUGGAAACUGGGAGACUUGAGUGCAGAAGAGGAAAGUGGAA